This 650-nucleotide ribosomal RNA is filed under the name Bacillus tequilensis. RNAcentral describes it as "bacterial SSU rRNA". It matches the Rfam family "Bacterial small subunit ribosomal RNA", at positions 88 to 723 of the family's 1533-position model. The record is from RNAcentral. Lineage: Bacteria; Bacillati; Bacillota; Bacilli; Caryophanales; Bacillaceae.
GAUGUUAGCGGCGGACGGGUGAGUAACACGUGGGUAACCUGCCUGUAAGACUGGGAUAACUCCGGGAAACCGGGGCUAAUACCGGAUGGUUGUUUGAACCGCAUGGUUCAAACAUAAAAGGUGGCUUCGGCUACCACUUACAGAUGGACCCGCGGCGCAUUAGCUAGUUGGUGAGGUAACGGCUCACCAAGGCAACGAUGCGUAGCCGACCUGAGAGGGUGAUCGGCCACACUGGGACUGAGACACGGCCCAGACUCCUACGGGAGGCAGCAGUAGGGAAUCUUCCGCAAUGGACGAAAGUCUGACGGAGCAACGCCGCGUGAGUGAUGAAGGUUUUCGGAUCGUAAAGCUCUGUUGUUAGGGAAGAACAAGUACCGUUCGAAUAGGGCGGUACCUUGACGGUACCUAACCAGAAAGCCACGGCUAACUACGUGCCAGCAGCCGCGGUAAUACGUAGGUGGCAAGCGUUGUCCGGAAUUAUUGGGCGUAAAGGGCUCGCAGGCGGUUUCUUAAGUCUGAUGUGAAAGCCCCCGGCUCAACCGGGGAGGGUCAUUGGAAACUGGGGAACUUGAGUGCAGAAGAGGAGAGUGGAAUUCCACGUGUAGCGGUGAAAUGCGUAGAGAUGUGGAGGAACACCAGUGGCGAAGGCG